UACGGAGGGUGCGAGCGUUAAUCGGAAUUACUGGGCGUAAAGCGCACGCAGGCGGUUUGUUAAGCUAGAUGUGAAAGCCCCGGGCUCAACCUGGGAUGGUCAUUAGAACUGGCAGACUAGAGUCUUGGAGAGGGGAGUGGAAUUCCAGGUGUAGCGGUGAAAUGCGUAGAUAUCUGGAGGAACAUCAGUGGCGAAGGCGACUCCCUGGCCAAAGACUGACGCUCAUGUGCGAAAGUGUGGGUAGCGAACAGG
This 252-nucleotide ribosomal RNA is filed under the name uncultured bacterium. RNAcentral describes it as "partial 16S ribosomal RNA". It matches the Rfam family "Bacterial small subunit ribosomal RNA", at positions 524 to 776 of the family's 1533-position model. The record is from RNAcentral.